UCUUCAGAUGAUGAUCCCAAGCCUUCUGGCGCUCGACGCAAAAUAUGGCCCUUAUUUGGGUAUUGGGAAGAGACUUUUCCGUUUUAUGAGAUUAUGCCGGAGAAGGUUUUCUGGUUUGCCCCGGAGGGCUUGUAGCUCAGUUGGUUAGAGCGCGCGCUUGAUAAGCGUGAGGUCGGAGGUUCAAGUCCUCCCAGGCCCACCACCUUUAUAAGUGCUUAUAACGGUUACUUGUAAAAAGUUUGUUCUGCUUAUUCCUUUUGUUAGAGCAGUUCGUCUUGUAAGGUUUUGAACGCCUUUUAAAUUUAUGGGGCCGUAGCUCAGCUGGGAGAGCACCUGCUUUGCAAGCAGGGGGUCGUCGG
This 359-nucleotide unclassified non-coding RNA is filed under the name Bartonella sp. Its description in RNAcentral is "partial 16S-23S ribosomal RNA intergenic spacer". The stretch from base 126 to 199 matches the Rfam family "tRNA". Lineage: Bacteria; Pseudomonadati; Pseudomonadota; Alphaproteobacteria; Hyphomicrobiales; Bartonellaceae. The record is from RNAcentral.